RNAcentral lists this ribosomal RNA (1501 nucleotides) under Enterobacter asburiae. RNAcentral describes it as "bacterial SSU rRNA". It matches the Rfam family "Bacterial small subunit ribosomal RNA". Lineage: Bacteria; Pseudomonadati; Pseudomonadota; Gammaproteobacteria; Enterobacterales; Enterobacteriaceae. The record is from RNAcentral.
CCAGAGUUUGAUCAUGGCUCAGAUUGAACGCUGGCGGCAGGCCUAACACAUGCAAGUCGAGCGGUAGCACAGAGAGCUUGCUCUCGGGUGACGAGCGGCGGACGGGUGAGUAAUGUCUGGGAAACUGCCUGAUGGAGGGGGAUAACUACUGGAAACGGUAGCUAAUACCGCAUAACGUCGCAAGACCAAAGAGGGGGACCUUCGGGCCUCUUGCCAUCAGAUGUGCCCAGAUGGGAUUAGCUAGUAGGUGGGGUAACGGCUCACCUAGGCGACGAUCCCUAGCUGGUCUGAGAGGAUGACCAGCCACACUGGAACUGAGACACGGUCCAGACUCCUACGGGAGGCAGCAGUGGGGAAUAUUGCACAAUGGGCGCAAGCCUGAUGCAGCCAUGCCGCGUGUAUGAAGAAGGCCUUCGGGUUGUAAAGUACUUUCAGCGGGGAGGAAGGUGUUGAGGUUAAUAACCUCAGCAAUUGACGUUACCCGCAGAAGAAGCACCGGCUAACUCCGUGCCAGCAGCCGCGGUAAUACGGAGGGUGCAAGCGUUAAUCGGAAUUACUGGGCGUAAAGCGCACGCAGGCGGUCUGUCAAGUCGGAUGUGAAAUCCCCGGGCUCAACCUGGGAACUGCAUUCGAAACUGGCAGGCUAGAGUCUUGUAGAGGGGGGUAGAAUUCCAGGUGUAGCGGUGAAAUGCGUAGAGAUCUGGAGGAAUACCGGUGGCGAAGGCGGCCCCCUGGACAAAGACUGACGCUCAGGUGCGAAAGCGUGGGGAGCAAACAGGAUUAGAUACCCUGGUAGUCCACGCCGUAAACGAUGUCGACUUGGAGGUUGUGCCCUUGAGGCGUGGCUUCCGGAGCUAACGCGUUAAGUCGACCGCCUGGGGAGUACGGCCGCAAGGUUAAAACUCAAAUGAAUUGACGGGGGCCCGCACAAGCGGUGGAGCAUGUGGUUUAAUUCGAUGCAACGCGAAGAACCUUACCUACUCUUGACAUCCAGAGAACUUUCCAGAGAUGGAUUGGUGCCUUCGGGAACUCUGAGACAGGUGCUGCAUGGCUGUCGUCAGCUCGUGUUGUGAAAUGUUGGGUUAAGUCCCGCAACGAGCGCAACCCUUAUCCUUUGUUGCCAGCGGUCCGGCCGGGAACUCAAAGGAGACUGCCAGUGAUAAACUGGAGGAAGGUGGGGAUGACGUCAAGUCAUCAUGGCCCUUACGAGUAGGGCUACACACGUGCUACAAUGGCGCAUACAAAGAGAAGCGACCUCGCGAGAGCAAGCGGACCUCAUAAAGUGCGUCGUAGUCCGGAUUGGAGUCUGCAACUCGACUCCAUGAAGUCGGAAUCGCUAGUAAUCGUAGAUCAGAAUGCUACGGUGAAUACGUUCCCGGGCCUUGUACACACCGCCCGUCACACCAUGGGAGUGGGUUGCAAAAGAAGUAGGUAGCUUAACCUUCGGGAGGGCGCUUACCACUUUGUGAUUCAUGACUGGGGUGAAGUCGUAACAAGGUAA